This 76-nucleotide transfer RNA is filed under the name Isosphaera pallida ATCC 43644. RNAcentral's name for it is "tRNA-Leu". It matches the Rfam family "tRNA". From Rfam's summary of the family: Transfer RNA (tRNA) molecules are approximately 80 nucleotides in length. Their secondary structure includes four short double-helical elements and three loops (D, anti-codon, and T loops). The record is from RNAcentral. Lineage: Bacteria; Pseudomonadati; Planctomycetota; Planctomycetia; Isosphaerales; Isosphaeraceae.
CCGUUGGUCGCUGAACGGUGAGGCAACAAGCUCAAACCUUGUUGUCCGUUGCCGGUUCGAUUCCGGCAUCGACCCA